AUUGAACGCUGGCGGCAGGCCUAACACAUGCAAGUCGAGCGGUAGCACAGGGAGCUUGCUCUCGGGUGACGAGCGGCGGACGGGUGAGUAAUGUCUGGGAAACUGCCUGAUGGAGGGGGAUAACUACUGGAAACGGUAGCUAAUACCGCAUAACGUCGCAAGACCAAAGAGGGGGACCUUCGGGCCUCUUGCCAUCAGAUGUGCCCAGAUGGGAUUAGCUAGUAGGUAGGGUAACGGCUCACCUAGGCGACGAUCCCUAGCUGGUCUGAGAGGAUGACCAGCCACACUGGAACUGAGACACGGUCCAGACUCCUACGGGAGGCAGCAGUGGGGAAUAUUGCACAAUGGGCGCAAGCCUGAUGCAGCCAUGCCGCGUGUAUGAAGAAGGCCUUCGGGUUGUAAAGUACUUUCAGCGGGGAGGAAGGUGUUGAGGUUAAUAACCUCAGCAAUUGACGUUACCCGCAGAAGAAGCACCGGCUAACUCCGUGCCAGCAGCCGCGGUAA
This 504-nucleotide ribosomal RNA is filed under the name uncultured bacterium. RNAcentral describes it as "partial 16S ribosomal RNA". It matches the Rfam family "Bacterial small subunit ribosomal RNA", at positions 30 to 523 of the family's 1533-position model. The record is from RNAcentral.